UAAUACGGAGGGUGCAAGCGUUGUUCGGAUUUAUUGGGCGUAAAGGGCGUGUAGGCGGCUCGUUAAGUCUGAUGUGAAAGCCCCGGGCUCAACCCGGGAAGUGCAUUGGAAACUGGCGAACUUGAGUACGGGAGAGGGCAGUGGAAUUCCCAGUGUAGGAGUGAAAUCCGUAGAUAUUGGGAGGAACACCGGUGGCGAAGGCGGCUGCCUGGACCGAUACUGACGCUGAGACGCGAAAGCGUGGGGAGCAAACAGGAUUAGAUACCCUGGUAGUCCACGCCGUAAACGAUGAGCACUAGGUGUUGCGGGUAUUGACCCCUGCAGUGCCGCAGCUAACGCAUUAAGUGCUCCGCCUGGGAAGUACGGUCGCAAGACUA
RNAcentral lists this ribosomal RNA (377 nucleotides) under uncultured bacterium. Its description in RNAcentral is "bacterial SSU rRNA". It matches the Rfam family "Bacterial small subunit ribosomal RNA", at positions 521 to 896 of the family's 1533-position model. The record is from RNAcentral.